This 250-nucleotide ribosomal RNA is filed under the name uncultured prokaryote. RNAcentral's name for it is "partial 16S ribosomal RNA". It matches the Rfam family "Bacterial small subunit ribosomal RNA", at positions 524 to 773 of the family's 1533-position model. The record is from RNAcentral.
UACGUAGGUGGCAAGCGUUGUCCGGAUUUACUGGGUGUAAAGGGAGCGCAGGCGGGAUAGCAAGUCAGCGGUGAAAUGCAUGGGCUCAACCCAUGAACUGCCGUUGAAACUGUUAUUCUUGAGUGGAGUAGAGGCAAGCGGAAUUCCGAGUGUAGCGGUGAAAUGCGUAGAUAUUCGGAGGAACACCAGUGGCGAAGGCGGCUUGCUGGGCUCUAACUGACGCUGAGGCUCGGAAGCGUGGGUAUCGAAC